UAUAAACCCUGUCAUCCGCGCGCAAUACUCCAACUGAAUACGGUGGAUGUUGAUAGUAGUGGAAGAGGAAGGGACGGCUAACUCUGUGCCAGCAGCCGCGGUAAUACAGAGGUCCCAAGCGUUGUUCGGAAUUACUGGGCGUAAAGGGUGCGUAUGCGGCCAAAAUAGUCCGAUGUGAAAUCUUGAAGCUCAACUUCGAAACUGCAUUGGAUACUGGUUGGCUAGAGAUGUGAAGGGGAGCAUGGAAUUCUCGGUGUAGCAGUGAAAUGCGUAGAUAUCGAGAGGAACACCAGUGGCGAAAGCGAUUCUCUGGACACAUUCUGACGCUGAGGCACGAAAGCCAAGGGAGCAAACGGGAUUAGAUACCCCGGUAGUCUUGGCUGUAAACGGUGCGCAUUUGCUGUGAGUGAAUUUAACCUCACUCGUGGCGAAGCUAACGCGAUAAAUGCGCCGCCUGGGAAAUACGAUCGCAAGAUUAAAACUCAAAGAAAUUGACGGGGGCCUGCACAAGCGGUGGAGUAUGUGGCUUAAUUCGAUGCACGCGAAGAACCUUACCUAGUCUUGACAUGCUGGCAGUAGGAUCCAGAAAUGGAAACGAGGU
This 601-nucleotide ribosomal RNA is filed under the name uncultured bacterium. Its description in RNAcentral is "bacterial SSU rRNA". It matches the Rfam family "Bacterial small subunit ribosomal RNA", at positions 424 to 1018 of the family's 1533-position model. The record is from RNAcentral.